RNAcentral lists this long non-coding RNA (7773 nucleotides) under Triticum aestivum (bread wheat). RNAcentral describes it as "long non-coding RNA (TAES_LNC000310)". Lineage: Eukaryota; Viridiplantae; Streptophyta; Magnoliopsida; Poales; Poaceae. The record is from RNAcentral.
AAUAAACCAGCAGCAUGAGAGCACAUCCUGUAAGAGCAUACAUAUUGUCAUGGCUUUUCAUGCCUUCAAUUAAAACACCUACACUUCUUGCCAAGUCACUUACUCCCAGCUAGCGCAAACACAAUUACAAGCAAACCAAAAUGCAUAAAAACAUCAAACAGUGGCAUCCUAUCUCUCCAUACAAACACCAAUCAGCGCUACCUCCAAUCCUCGGAUCACCGGCCCGGCCUCCAGCAUCUGCAGCUAUGUGCUCUUCAGCUCGCAGUGCCUCCACGCCUUGGUCCAGCAUCUCCUUGGCACCUUCUUGAGUGCCUGCCAAAUUUAUCAAAAUUAUGCAUAUUCAGAUCAUAGAUAUUCAGGAAAUUGGGAGCGAAUAGGAACAUACAUGACAUACGCAUUACUAUUGGAGAAGACUUCGUAAACUGCUUAUACAAGAAAUGGACAGGAAGAAAAAGAAUGGCCAAUAUUCACAUUCGUAUAAGUUUGACCUCAAUAAAAUUUGAGACAUGUAACAACUCAGACUCAGAUUUAUGUGUUUACAGUGUACUUUGAUAUACAAGUUGGAAACCUCGAAUACAUAGCCAGAAAGAGAUUGGUACACAUAAGAAAUUGAUCUUAAAAGAAUUUAAGAACCACAGGGGUCUACAGGUUUACUUAGCCCUCAGGUUUACCUAGCUAGUUUAACAGAUUUAUAACUUAAGAAACACAGGGGUCUUAGUAGCAGCGUUCAAUAAACCGAUUGCUUUGCAUUUGGCAUGCAGAGUGAGAUAGAGGUGGAUAAGAAGUUCAAAAUGUCUAAAAAGCAUGGUUGUUCUGCCUCUAAUUUAUCUUCAGAAGAUCAAAUCAAAGAGUUUAUGAGCACAAACUAUUCUUGCUACUUAAGUCCUCCGUCCAAUAAUAUAGGAUCGUUUUGCAAGAUAAACACUGAGGGAGUAUAUGGCAACUCCAUUAAGGAAUUUUUUGGUGAAUACUCCCUUGAGAAAUUAAUCAAGAUCAUCACUCAAUUUUGCUUUUCUGAUUACCACUUCAAAAUGGCAACGAAAACAGACAAACAAAUGAAUCAUUGUUAUGUUCUUGAGCUUGGUUAGCUUCGCCACGAGCACAUAAAAAGUAGCAACUACAAAAUAGUGUAACAACAACUACCAAUCAAAAUAAUGAACUAUCUAGCAUGAGACAAGCAGUGUGAUAAUUAUGAAAGCUGGGAGAUAACUAGGACGCAACAGAAAGUUUGCCAUACCGUCGGCGUAGAUAACAACGAUGGUGGGAAGUUGCUAUAUGCGUGAGUACAAUCGACACCGUGUUGAAGUGUUACUCCCUCAAACUGGAAUCUCUACCAGAAUCGCGACUAAGUCUGUGAGCCAACUUAUAUUCCUGUCAGCCCCACGUAAGCUCACAGGAAAGUAUCGUUUUACUGUAGGCCGGGCUAUAGCCGACAGGUUUUUGCACUAUAUUCCUGUAGGCUUUGAGUAAACGCACAGGAAGAAUAUAUCCCUGUGGGUCGCGGCCCACAGAAAUAGCAUUCGGCCCUUCGCGCCCUCGGGCUCUCGCUUCGCGCCACCGGAUUUCAUUGCGCGCGCAUUUUUAGCCGAGGCCCAUCCAUUUUGUCUAUUUUCCUGUGUGUUUGGGCUCACAGAAUUAGGCCCAGUACAAAAUGAGAGGGCAAACAGAACCCUCUCGAUCCCUAGUUCAGUCUCCAGAACCCUCGAUCCCCAAUUCAGUCUCCUGCCACUCCACCGCCGCCGCCACCAUCGCCCUGUCCAACGCCACCAUCGUCCGGUCCACCGUCGCCGCCUCCAUCGUCCGGUCCACCGCCGCAGCCGCCGCCACACCAUCCUCCGGUCCACCGCCGCCGCUGCCUCCCCUUCCCGCGGAAGGCCGUUCUUCCGCCCGCAUCUGCCUCACCACCGGCGUAGCGCCGGUCUCCACCUCGCCACCCGCCGGAGCACCAGCACCCGCCUCCCCACCGAGCUCCCGUACUAGUCCCCCCAUUCAACUUUACGCGUCUUCACCUCUGGCUGUCCGUACUCCUCUGCUCGCUGCAUCACAAGCCCUCUGUCUUCAUAUCUCUGGUAAUAUAUCACCUCCUUUUCCUGGAUCUAAGAUUAGCUUGCUCUAUUUCUUGUGUAGCGUUUAAGCUUAGUUGAAACUAUUUUAGGCACGUCUGAUUAGUAUACGGUUGAUUUGAACAGAUUAGUUUUGGUUGUUCUUAGAUGUAUGUUGUAGCGUCUGUAGCAACCUCACUGAAUAGCUAACAUGUUGUAGCUUCUGUACAUGACCAUCUAACUGUUUAUUUUUUCUAGGUUGUAGCUUCUAUGACAUCUGCUACCUGCUAUCUAUUUUAUUCUAGUAAAGUUAAUUUAACACGUAUAAUUUUCCAGAAACAUCAGCAAACAGCUAGGGGAGUUGGCUGCCACCCUUUUCGAUGCCGUAAUUUCCCAGCUUGAACAAGUAUAUUGGUAAGUUAUAGCUUUGAGCUCUUAAAUUUAUGUCUGAAACAAUUGUAUUUUUGUGAAUUGUUAUUUGUGCUGCUGCCCUUUAGUAUGCUAUUAUUUUUCUGAAAUAUCCCCAUUUCUGUGAAUUUUAUUUUAGUAUGAAUUCUUGGUUAAAUAAUGGAGAACCGUGAUUGGAUGUAUAGUGGAUGGGUGUUUGGUCAAGUCCCUUCUAAUAUAUGGCUUGAAGAAACUGCACGAUUUAUAGACCGUGCCUUCUCUUCCAUAGCUGAAGGUGGUAAAAUUAAGUGUCCGUGCACCAAAUGUCGGAAUUAUUUUCCGCAAGAAAGGCACAUUGUAGAGAAACACUUGUAUAAACAUGGGUAUAAGCCAAAUUACAGAACCUCGACAGAACAUGGUGAGAGUUUUGUAGCUGCUGCUGAUGGAUCUGUCCCUUUAGUACAUCAUCAAGAGGGCUGUAAUGAAACUGAUCGAAUGGACAAUAUGUUGGUUGACUUAGGUGGUAGCCAUCCUCCACCGGUUACUGAGGAGCCAACCUCCUCUGCCAAGGCUUUUUAUAGGAUGGUCAGUAGUGCCGAUGAAUUGGUACAUGAGAACACAAAACACACACGUCUUUCUGCUGUAGCUCGCUUGCUGGCUAUGAAAUCACAAUACAACAUGUCCAUUGCACAUUUUGAUGACACCUUAAAAAUAAUCCAUGACAGCCGCAGAUCGUGUGAAGGAAGAGUUUUGGGUAAGUAGAAUUUUUUUUGGAGCAAUUGCAAUUAUUAUUAUACAUAUCUUUGUAUUGCUGUAAAAAUCUGAUCUAUAAAUUUCUGAACAUGUAGAACUUGUUUGAGCUGCAUGUUGAUGACGAGGAAGAUGACAGUGCCCGAAUCCAAAUUGAGCAAGAGGCUAACCGGAUUAUUGACACAUAUGCAAGGAAAAAGGUGAAAGACAUGUUGUACCAACUUCGUGUGGAUGCUGUGAAGCUUUACUAUGAGAAUCAAGGAGAGAAGCUUGAUGACUCGAUGGCUUGUGCAAGAGAACUCGAAUAUGAGCAAUACCUCCAGAGUAGGAUACCAUGGUGCAAGGAAGUUGCAUGGCCUGGACGAUGUCGUUAUUGGACAUCAAAGGAAUACAAGACCAACAUGGGGAGGGGACGAGAAGCUCGCUUGAAAUCUAAGGAUAUUGCUCCAAACCGAGGAGGCUCACGACCUUUUGCGGAGGCACAACAAUAUUUGGUAUGUCGUGAUUAUUGUAUGAUUUGCUUCACACUUAGUUUUUCUAUUACAUGAUGAUGCCAUGACUUUGCUUCAAUUUAUGUGGUCUUAUAGGAAGAGACGCUUGGACCUGAGAAGGCGACCACGCUGAAUACAUAUACUGCAAUGAAAUGUGGAAUGAAGAAUGUGAGUAGCAGUGGCAACAAUGGCGCAAUCAUUAGCAAUGGUGCAAUCAUGAGCCAGAAAGCACAAAAACGCUUUGUAUGUCAUCGUUUCUACUGCCAUAUUGCUUAUAGGUUUUUAAGACGUUAAUUUACUAGCAUGUUGUGAACAACCUAUAAUUUUUGAUUGUCAGGAUGACUAUACUGCAUUGGCUAAAGAGAAGUAUCCAGAUAGUUGGGAGGGAAGAGAGCUGGACGGUGAGCUGCUGUAUGAAGCAUCAGGUGGCAUUCCUCAUGGUCGCGUGUCAAUAGGCGAUGGGGCUAUUAAGAAAGCAGAUAUUAAAUCAGCAGCUAGAAAAAGAAAUGUCAGUGCAUCAAUUUCGCUCACACUUCGAGAGAAGGAACAACUCAGGCGUGUUAAUGAAGAAAAUGCAGAACUCAGGCGUGCUAAGGAGAUGCUACAGCAGAAAGUAGAUAUGCAUGGGCAGCUCAUAACUGUAUGUACAAAUUCAUGCACACAUUCUAAAGCAAUGGAUCUCAACUUCUCAAGUAUCAACUCUAGUAACAUUUCUUCUUUGUUUGCAGGCACUUUUCAAGGAGAUAGGAAAAGAGUUGCCAGCUCAUAUACUACAUAUACUAAGCCAUGGAGCUGUUUCGCAACCAGAAGUAAGUGUAUGAGAAACUUGAAGUUGUAUAUAUCAUAUGGAUGAAUGUGUGAUGUCCACUACUCAACUUAGUUUUGUGCAUUCCUUCUGACCUGUCUACGCUGAUGUGGCUGCAAUAUCAACACUGUGUUGCAUAUGAGAUUGUUUAUCAUGUUUUGUAUUAAUUUGUUUGGAUGUUUGCAUCUGUGAGCUCGUCUAUUCUCACAAGAUUCUUUAGCUGUUGUGCCCAAUUUCCGUAUAAAUAAUGCUUGCCAUGCUUAAGGUCCAUCUGAUUGGAACUUGAAAGUAGCCUAGACAAAAUCAGUUCUUGGUGCCAAGCAUUAAUCAAUAAAUGGAUAUUAUUUGGUUCGUUUGGUUAUGUUGUCUCCACUUGUUAUCUAACAAAGUAUUGUGUUUUUAUUGUUCUAAAUCGGAUUAAAUAACAAUUUGGUUACUUCUUGAUUCAGGGAGAAAUAACUCAUCUCAAGCCGGCUCGCAAGCGGUUGAUGGCAACAAUGAUGUCAUGGAGUCAAGCGAGGAGGAUGAAGCCACUGGGAAUGUCGGCGAUCAGACCGUUGACGCAGCCAACCAUGGCGGAAACUGAUUGCUCAAUCAACAUGAUAACAUCAGACUAUAGGUGGUCGUAAUAUGCUCUUUUGUGGACUUGUGUAUCUGGUAUGGCUUAGGAAUGAGAACUGAGAUCUGGUGGUAGUUGCAAGCCGGCGCAUUUUGCUAGUAUUGUUGUAGUUGGCAGAUCCUUUUGUGGAUGGUACCUUUGUAGCCUCGUAGUGUAAUUUGUUGAUAUAUGUAUGUAUGGAACUGAUGUUGAUACAUCUGGUGGUAGUUGCAAGCCGGUGUAUUUUGCUAGUAUUAUUGUAGUUAGCAGAUCCUUUUGUGGAUGGUACCUUUGUAGCCUUGUAGUGUAAUUAUAUAUGUAUGGAACUGAUGAUGCUAUAUGAAGUCAUAUGUUGUCAUAUAAAUAUAUUCUCAUAUGGUUUCUGUGAAAUAAUGCAACAUUUGUAGAACCUGGGUUAAGCACAUUGCUUUUGUGGUAGGAAUAUGAAAUAAAAAAUCAACAUCAUGAUGUGACAGUGACGGCCAAUGGCUCACAGGAAUGAACGCGUGCUGCAGCAACGUAGUAUAAUUUUCCUGUCGGCUGAACCUACAGGUAUAAGUCCUUCCUGACAGUCUUUCCUGACAGGUGGACGACAGGAAUAUGUAUUUUCUGGGAAGCAUAAAUCUGACGCAACAUUUCUUUCCUGUGCACCAACCGUCAGGGAUAACCGACAGCAUUAAUAUUCCCGUGGGCCGUCCGUCAGGCAUAUUCAUUCAUUCCUGGCAGGCUAUGGCUGUGGGUUGUUCCUGUCGGUUGGCCGACAGGAAUUAUAUUCCUGACGGCCAUAUUUCUUUUCCUGACGGCUACUGGCCCACACACUUAGUCACGUUUCUGGUAGUGUCUAGAGGUCCAGGGUGAAAUAGCCUGCAUCAUGACAGCCUCCAUACUUAUAUAGGAGCAAGUACCUCCCUGUUGAACCAAUGAACAAGUAUUGAUAGUCCAGUAAAAUUCUCUUCUCUCUCUGCUACUGGCUGGAAGUCCCUCCACUGUUUUCCCUAGUGCUAUAUUUGAUGUAAGAUGUGUUAAAUGCACGCACAAACUUCCCGGGCCUACCUUCCCCUCCCUCCACAAUGGCUAGUACGAAGGCACAUAUAAGAACAAACAAAUUUGCAUGACGAAAUGAUGCAGUAGAUUACAGAACUCCUCACUUGUCCACUAGCACAUAUAAAAAAUUAACUUCCUACUUACAGUGGCAAGAAAAUCUUAUAUGAAUGUGUUAUAAUAAAUAAUGCUAACCAUGAAGUCUUCUUUCAUAUAACAAAGGAGUGAUGAAAACAAAAAACCUGUAAUUCAAAUACGACAUGCAGUUAGUUAAUUAUUUGCAUGUCAACAGUUCUAAUGUCUAGCUACAGAUCUUCAAAGUAAAGAUUGUGAACUCUAUUAGACGUGAUUAUAUCAAUUAGACCAACUAGAAAAUAAUUCAAUAUGUUGUAAACGAAGUUCAAUCUAUCUUCUGAUUAUUAGUGUUUCAGUUAGGUGAUUAGUCCUUCUACGGCCGCCGGUUAAUAGGUGAGCCAUGACUUUUUACAGUAAAAAAUGCAAAGGAAAUAACAGGUUACUCCAUUGAUCUAACUAGUAGUGAAUGAGCUAGUGUAGGUUACUCCAUUGAAUGAACCCAGCUGGUGUAUAUAUAUGGACGCAGCCACCACCAGUGGAUACAGGUUCUAAUCAAAUCAGACUCAACUAUUAACCGACUUGGACUACAAAUUCCUAAUCCUGGUAUUAUACUCCUACCAACGCAGCUAGAUAGCUAGGACAAGUCCUAGUCGGACUCAAGUUAGUAUUUUUCUUAAUCUAAUUAUACGGCCACGAUUGAUCACACCUUACGCAGCGAGGGUAAUGACCACACUUCAUGCAUGAGUAGUUCACAAAUAAGAAAGCAAGCAUAUGUGUACAUAGACACAGAACAGGAGUAACCGCCACUUAAUUUGCUGAUCCAUUACCAACAGUUAGUUUACUCUGUUCUGUCAGGUGAGGCUCCUGGUUGCAGAUGUAUUAUUGCUCUAGUACUAAACUACUAAUCAGCAGCAGCAGCAAUAGACAAAUCAAGCAUGUUUGUGUCAAUUUUUGCAGGUUGACAUGUUAUUACAUAAAAAAAACACUGAAACUUUUAUAGCAUACCACAUCACAUACAUGACCUCUCCUAAGAAGUUCCAGAUUUUUCAAAACAGAAUGACAACAUAUAUAUGAUCCUAGGAGCAAACAAUAAUAUGAUUUUGUGCUAUUAAUAUCAACAUAAUACAGCAAUCACUAUGCAGGCAGAGUAUUAGUCACGCUUUUGAGUGAUGCGUGAGUGUUCCUAGUACUAGCAGCAAUGGAGGCCGGAGCUUAUGCAACAGCGGAGACAAGGAUGAAGCCACAAGAGAAGGAAGGAACCAAGUAAGUAGCAGCAGCAUAGUGCAGAUUGGAGUACGAACCUGAGCUGCUGCUGCUGGCCACCGAUGGAUCUCCGCCCUCUGUUUUCGCCGUCGACUCCCCGCCCCCAAUCCCCUUGCCUCCAAUCGAUGGUCGCUGAGGCUCUGCCGGUCCGCCACCAACCAACCGACCGCCGCUAGCGCAGCCGCGUCUCCCAGUCCCAAAUCCACCGGCGGUGGAGGCCGCCGUGGUGGAGCGAGGGAGGGAGCGGGGACAUGAAGAAAUGUGCAGGGGGAGCGAGAGGAUUUGGGAGGAGAAGAAGAGGCGACUAUGUUUUCUCGGCGC